CGCAGCCGCGGUAAUUCCAGUUCCAAUAGCGUAUAUUAAAGUUGUUGCAGUUAAAAGCUCGUAGUUGAACUUCGGGGUCUACCCAUUGGUCAGGCUUAAUUGUCUGCACUGGUGAGAUGGAUCUCUACCUUCUGAGGAACUUUCAUGCCAUUUAUUGGUGUGAUGGGAAAUCAGG
This 175-nucleotide unclassified non-coding RNA is filed under the name uncultured Glomus. RNAcentral's name for it is "sequence contains 18S rRNA gene". It matches the Rfam family "Eukaryotic small subunit ribosomal RNA", at positions 569 to 746 of the family's 1831-position model. The record is from RNAcentral. Lineage: Eukaryota; Fungi; Glomeromycota; Glomeromycetes; Glomerales; Glomeraceae.